AUUGAACGCUGGCGGCAUGCCUUACACAUGCAAGUCGAACGGCAGCACGGGAGCAAUCCUGGUGGCGAGUGGCGAACGGGUGAGUAAUAUAUCGGAACGUGCCCAGUCGUGGGGGGAUAACGCAGCGAAAGCUGUGCUAAUACCGCAUACGAUCUAUGGAUGAAAGCGGGGGAUCGCAAGACCUCGCGCGAUUGGANCGGCCGAUAUCAGAUUAGCUAGUUGGUGGGGUAAAAGCCCACCAAGGCGACGAUCUGUAGCUGGUCUGAGAGGACGACCAGCCACACUGGAACUGAGACACGGUCCAGACUCCUACGGGAGGCAGCAGUGGGGAAUUUUGGGACAAUGGGCGCAAGCCUGAUCCAGCAAUGCCGCGUGCAGGAUGAAGGCCUGGUUGUAACUGACUUUGUA
RNAcentral lists this ribosomal RNA (408 nucleotides) under uncultured bacterium. RNAcentral describes it as "bacterial SSU rRNA". It matches the Rfam family "Bacterial small subunit ribosomal RNA", at positions 30 to 439 of the family's 1533-position model. The record is from RNAcentral.